GAGCUCAACUCCAGAACUGCCAUUGAUACUAUCUAUCUUGAAUAUUGUGGAGGUAAGCGGAAUAUGUCAUGUAGCGGUGAAAUGCUUAGAUAUGACAUAGAACACCCAUUGCGAAGGCAGCUUACUACGCAUAUAUUGACGCUGAGGCACGAAAGCGUGGGGAUCAAACAGGAUUAGAUACCCUGGUAGUCCACGCCCUAAACUAUGGAUACUCGACAUAUGCGAUACACUGUAUGUGUCUGAGCGAAAGCAUUAAGUAUCCCACCUGGGAAGUACGUUCGCAAGAAUGAAACUCAAAGGAAUUGGCGGGGGUCCGCACAAGCGGUGGAGUAUGUGGUUUAAUUCGAUGAUACGCGAGGAACCUUACCUGGGCUAGAAUGCUGGGAGAUCGCUAGUGAAAGCUAGUUUUGUAGCAAUACACUGCCAGUAAGGUGCUGCAUGGCCGUCGUCAGCUCGUGCCGUGAGGUGUUGGGUUAAGUCCCGCAACGAGCGCAACCCCUAUCUUUAGUUGCCAACAGGUAAUGCUGGGAACUCUAAAGAAACUGCCGCCGUAAGGUGUGAGGAAGGAGGGGAUGAUGUCAGGUCAUCAUGGCCUUUAUGCCCAGGGCUACACACGUACUACAAUGGGGGAGACAAAGGGCUGCAACAUAGCGAUAUGAAGCCAAUCCCAAAAACUCCCUC
Molecule: ribosomal RNA, 681 nt
Filed under: uncultured bacterium
Lineage: Bacteria
Description: bacterial SSU rRNA
Rfam family: Bacterial small subunit ribosomal RNA
Source: RNAcentral